GUAGCCUUAAUCUUAACAACUACGUGAUUUGAUCCAAAAUUAGACAUUUUGAAUAAAGAAUGAAAGUAAAAAAAGAAAACAUGAAGGAAGGUAUGAAACAAUAGGAGCGUCAACGAAUGCUGAACAGAAAGCAAGAAGAAAGCAAG
RNAcentral lists this long non-coding RNA (146 nucleotides) under Polistes fuscatus (common paper wasp). Its description in RNAcentral is "uncharacterized LOC122521198". Lineage: Eukaryota; Metazoa; Arthropoda; Insecta; Hymenoptera; Vespidae. The record is from RNAcentral.